RNAcentral lists this ribosomal RNA (397 nucleotides) under uncultured bacterium. RNAcentral's name for it is "partial 16S ribosomal RNA". It matches the Rfam family "Bacterial small subunit ribosomal RNA", at positions 523 to 918 of the family's 1533-position model. The record is from RNAcentral.
AUACGUAGGGGGCGAGCGUUGUCCGGAAUGAUUGGGCGUAAAGGGCGCGUAGGCGGCCCGGUAAGUCUGGAGUGAAAGUCCUGCUUUUAAGGUGGGAAUUGCUUUGGAUACUGUCGGGCUUGAGUGCAGGAGAGGUAAGUGGAAUUCCCAGUGUAGCGGUGAAAUGCGUAGAGAUUGGGAGGAACACCAGUGGCGAAGGCGACUUACUGGACUGUAACUGACGCCGAGGCGCGAAAGUGUGGGGAGCAAACAGGAUUAGAUACCCUGGUAGUCCACACUGUAAACGAUGAAUGCUAGGUGUAGGGGGUAUCGACCCCUUCUGUGCCGCAGUUAACACAAUAAGCAUUCCGCCUGGGGAGUACGGCCGCAAGGUUGAAACUUAAAGGAAUUGACGGGG